Molecule: transfer RNA, 90 nt
Filed under: Gammaproteobacteria bacterium TMED119
Lineage: Bacteria; Pseudomonadati; Pseudomonadota; Gammaproteobacteria
Also listed under: 1 other name
Description: tRNA-Ser
Rfam family: tRNA
About the family: Transfer RNA (tRNA) molecules are approximately 80 nucleotides in length. Their secondary structure includes four short double-helical elements and three loops (D, anti-codon, and T loops).
Source: RNAcentral
GGAGAGUUGGCAGAGUGGUCGAAUGCGGUGGUCUUGAAAACCAUUGACGGUUGAUCCCGUCCGGGGGUUCGAAUCCCUCACUCUCCGCCA